This 358-nucleotide ribosomal RNA is filed under the name uncultured Fusibacter sp. Its description in RNAcentral is "bacterial SSU rRNA". It matches the Rfam family "Bacterial small subunit ribosomal RNA", at positions 1024 to 1382 of the family's 1533-position model. The record is from RNAcentral. Lineage: Bacteria; Bacillati; Bacillota; Clostridia; Eubacteriales; Fusibacteraceae.
UACAAUUGAGACAGGUGGUGCAUGGUUGUCGUCAGCUCGUGUCGUGAGAUGUUGGGUUAAGUCCCGCAACGAGCGCAACCUUGUGUUUAGUUGCAAACAGGUCAAGCUGUGCACUCUAGACAGACUGCCGUGGACAACACGGAGGAAGGUGGGGAUGACGUCAAAUCAUCAUGCCCCUUAUGAUCUGGGCUACACACGUGCUACAAUGGCCGGUACAACGGGCAGCGAAGGAGCGAUCCGGAGCGAAUCCUAAAAAGCCGGUCCCAGUUCGGAUUGCAGGCUGAAACUCGCCUACAUGAAGUUGGAGUUGCUAGUAAUCGCGAAUCAGAAUGUCGCGGUGAAUACGUUCCCGGGCCUU